Molecule: long non-coding RNA, 2009 nt
Organism: Amphiprion ocellaris (clown anemonefish)
Lineage: Eukaryota; Metazoa; Chordata; Actinopteri; Pomacentridae
Exons: 4
Source: RefSeq, a predicted model, not a curated record
UUUAGCACAACAGAAGGUUCGGUUGGCAGGAGUCUGAAGACUGGACGAGAUGGUGUCGCUUGAGCUCUAUGGAGAUUUAAUAAGAGACAUUACUGCUCAGAACCUCUCGCACGCGGACAUUUCCACGAAGUUAUCACAAUUAGGUGUGCAGCGAUGUUCUGAAAUGAGUGUCAGGAGAUUUUGUGCACAUCACAACAUUUCCAGGAGGGGACAUGUAUCCGACACACAAUUAGAAGUUGCUAUCAGCAGGGCAAUAAAUCAGACAGGGUCAACAUAUGAUGACCAGGUAUCUGUCUGCGAUGGGAGUGGUUGCUGGUGAACGCCGGAUAGGGAGGAUUUUGAGAACAACGCAUUGUCCUUAUCACGAAAUGCGCAAUCGUGGUGCACGUAACCUUAACCCCGUCCCCUACAGUGCUGCAUACAUGGGACAUAAAAUCCACAUCGACCAGAAUGAAAAAUUGGUCAUGUUCAGAGUGACGCACGUUUUCGCAGUAGAUGCGUACAGCAGUAAGGUCAUUGCCCAUGCAACCAUGCCUGUCAAGAAUAAACUCACGAUAUAUGAGGAAGUUUACAGUCUGUAGCUGCUGAAUUCAUGGAUGAAUCAUCUGGCACUAGAGAAGAAGACCAUCAAACAUCCAUGUCAGCUGAUGGAGGUCCAAGAGUCUCACCAAACAACCAACCUACAGAGUGAAGACCUCAAAUCUGAUUGGACGGCCUCCUAUUCAGCCACAUGUGAACAAAUGCCUCUAAGUUGGUUUGUUUUCUAAAAUAACAUGACAUGUUCAGGCGUUCUUUGUGUGAAAACUCAGAGAUUUCAGGUAUCAGAAGGUGGUUUUCAACUUUCUUUGUUAACUUUCUGCUUCAACUUUAAACUAAAUUUCCUUCACUAGCCCAGCCCUCUGGACUUCCAGUAAGCUGUGUUCCUAUUGGCUGUCCAGGUGGCUGCUUGGUGUUAUCAGGAACACCUGAGCAGCUCAGUGUCUUCCUGCUUUAUUUAGCUGCAGACAAACAUUUCCUCUGCUUGUCUUCACCACUGAACCGGGUUUGGCUCCAUUGCUUUAGUUUGUUCUUUAGGCAUUGGCUUGCAGCUUCCAGCAGUAAAAUCAUUUUUAAUGUGUUUCUUGGUGUGUUUUAGGCAUUGUACUGGAUAGUUGUCUUGGUAAAUGUGGUUCUUUAGCCACAGUUAGCACAUGGUGCUAAUGUGUGCAAUGAUUAGUGGAUUUGGUGCAGCUGAGUUGUGUCUUUAUCUUGGCUGUAGUGAGUCUUUAGAGGUUUUUGGUCAGACACAUUCUGUAUUCUUGUUUGUGAACCAGCGUUGGUUGUCCAGAAGGUAAGAGUUCCUGUCCUGAUUCUCUGUUCUCAGAGGUUCUCUGGUAGGCUGCAGGAGACUUUAGCGUUUGGGUUGUGCUAGUUUGGUUUUUGUACGGUUUCAUUUGGACGACUAUCUUGAGGCCCCUCCAUGUGGUUUAGUGAGGUUUUCUGGAACAGUUCUACAAAGCAACCUGCAGCAGAAGAGACUUUGAGAGUUUUUAGGAAGUUCUGGAGACCAGACUUUAGAGCAGCAGAGACAUUUGUCAGCAGUUUGAGCAGGAGAAGGUGAGCUUCAGAGUAGAAAUUAGAUGGAAACCUUCUUGACCCGUGUGGUGAGGUCCUGUACCAAGAGUUUGAGCAGGUUGUGAAGAGUCUGUAGUUCUUUGGUCUGAAAGCACAAGAAGAGUCGACUCAUUAAAGGAGAAAACAGGAGAUAUUGUUGGUUCUUCUGUCGCUCUGCAGUUUCCUUAGACUAAAUAUCAAGUUUAUAUUUUAAAUGAUUUCCCAUAUGAGCCCAAGAAGACUUCAAUAAACUCCCUCCAUCCCCUGGACACAACAUAUUUUAUUACCAUGUUAAAUCUUUUUUGAAAUGUUUUUGCAUUUUAAACCUGGUUUUAGUACAGUUUUUUUCUCUUUGCUUGUUUAGUUGUGUCAUCUGUGUAAAAGGUGCUAAACAAAUAAAGUUGAAUUGAUAAACU